CUCGGUCCCCUCGGCUCCGGGGGCGCCCGGCUGGGCCCAGCUCCGCGGGCGCGCCCCCGUCACCCCCUCCCAGGCCAGUUCAGGGCAGCGCCAAGGGGCCGCGGGCUCAGGCUGAGGCCUCCUCCUGCCUAGGCGUCUGGCGUCCGUUUGUCUGUCCGAGGCCUCAGCGCAGGUAAAGCGCGGGGCUGGGGGGCGCAGAGCUCCAUUGGGCUGGGAACCAGCGCGUCUCGUGCCCUUGGGGGACCCGCCUGCCCGAGCCGCCUGCUAAGCCUCCCGCUCCCCUCCACGCUGGAGCGCGCGGAGCCCGGUCUGCUCGGAACUCCACUCUGCGGGAGCGGAGGCCGGCGCCAGCCCGGGAAGCCGCGCAGGGGGCGGGAGGCCGAGCGCGAGGCCCUUGGCGCCGGGCCUCCGCGGCCAGGCCGGGCAGCUUACGAUUCUUCAUCAACUCGUAAAAUGAGAUCGCCGCGGAGCUCGAGCCUAUUUGGCGUCUCCGGAGACUAGCAAGACCCUCUGAAAGACACCGCGUCCCCAGGGAUAAUCCCCCGUGUCCGGCAAAGCUGCCCCGCUCGAGCGCGAACCCUGGGACCCAGCGCGGGAGGCAGACCAGCAGCUGGCCGCUGGGCUGUGAACGCCAGGACCGAGCGGAAGCUUCCCGCCCGGCCGCGAUCGGUGCCGCGGCUCUCAGGGAAGUGGCUACGCGCGUCCCUCGGGAAAGCAGAUUAUCGGAGCCCUUUCAGAGAGCGCACAACAAAUGCGCCCGCCAUCGAAUGCAUCAUUUACCACCGCAGAUCCGAGCGCUGAUGGGCAGGCAGAUAGCCCUCUGCUGGGGGCACGCGGGCUCCCCGUGCCCGUACCACUCGCCUGCCUGCCGGGGCCACUGAGUGUGCGCCCCGGUGUGCCCGGCGUGUUUGGAUGGACACGUGGGUGUGCCAGUGCAUGGGCUAACGCCGAUGCAACUGUGCGGGUGUGUCAAACAAGUGUACCACAAAAAAGUGCAGGUGUGCGAGCCCAUCCAUGCACACGCAUGGCAGGCGUCUGUGCUGUGUCCGGAGGCGGCCGAUGAGGCGGGUGGAGGGUUCACACAGGAGGCGGUGCUGCACUAAGCUUGUGGGCAGGCAUGCGGCCCAGGGUGGCUGGACACGUGGUGGAGGAAUGGGAAUGCAAGCCCGCGUGUCCGAGUGCAGCGGAUGAGCAUCCUGCGAGUGCCUCACUGUGUCUGCCCUGGAGGUGGCUGUUUAGGGGAGCACGCCGGAGGCCACUAGGGUGGAUGUGCUGUGUGCAUGCAAGUGCCCACCCUACGUUGUGUUUCGGGGCACACAAGCUACCUGUGCCUACCGGGAUGAGCAUGCAAGUGUCACCGCUCCCGCCGGGCGUGCUUGGGGUGUGCUUGGGUCUGCGUGAGGCUGUGUGUGUCCUGCCGUAUCUCUGCCCAGGUGUGCCCUGGUGAGCUGAGAGAGGGGCACGGGGAAGGGCAGUCGUCGGGGCCUGUCCGUGUGCCAGCGUGGGUGGACUCCGGGCUGGGGAAGCGACAGGGAAUGGUGUGUGCCGGUGUGACAGACGCCAGAGCGGCGGGGUGGAACGUGCUGUGUCACGGGAGACUUUCUUGACCAAAACGGAAUGUGCGAGUGUGGAAGGAAGAGGGGCCGUCCGCGGAGUUUGGGGACACCCGGGCGUCCGAGCCCCAGAGCCUCUGCAGCUGGGACAAGGAAGCCCGAGCCCGCCGCCUGAGGUCCCCGCGCCGUUAGUGACACGCGCCGCCGACAAAGGCUGUAUUUUUCCAGGCUCGCGCCCCGCCCGCGCGCGCGCGAUGGUCCCCAUGGCGACGCAGAUAGCGCCGCAGCCAUUUUCCCUAUCUCCCCAGAGUCUAUUAUACGGCGGGAUUAGCUCAUCUCCAGGCAGGUCAAACCCAAAGUCACACAACCUGCGACGCGGGCCCCGCCCCCACUCCCCGGC
RNAcentral lists this long non-coding RNA (1953 nucleotides) under Homo sapiens (human). RNAcentral describes it as "non-protein coding GATA2-AS1:16". Lineage: Eukaryota; Metazoa; Chordata; Mammalia; Primates; Hominidae. The record is from RNAcentral.